AUGAAAUUCUCCUUUCAGGCCUCCAAGCUUCCAGAUGUAGCCCAAGAUGGAGGUCAGUGGUGGACUCUACUAUUUGGAGAGACAGGAGUUUGUCAUGUUGCUAAGGCUGGUCUUGAACUCUUGGACUUAAUCAGUGUUUCCACCUCAGCCUCCAAAAGCACUGGGAUUGCAGGUAGGAGCCACCAUGCCUGGCCUGUAAAGAAAACUUCUGGAGAAACAGGAAAAAAAUGCAUUCAUUUAGUGCUUUACUCCUGUAGCCCAAAGUCAAAACUAAAAAAAAAAAAGUGGCAAAAAUUAUUUCACUUUUCUAUAAAUUUUUUUCCCUCUCUCCCUUAGUCUUUUUUUGCAGUUUUUUUCUUUGUUGUUUUGUUUUGGGUUUUUUGGAGUAGGAAACUUCUUGGGAGUUCUAUCACAGGUUUAAAUUUUAGACUAAAG
Molecule: long non-coding RNA, 435 nt
Filed under: Callithrix jacchus (white-tufted-ear marmoset)
Lineage: Eukaryota; Metazoa; Chordata; Mammalia; Primates; Cebidae
Description: lncRNA (ENSCJAG00000076877.1)
Source: RNAcentral